This 790-nucleotide ribosomal RNA is filed under the name Physconia detersa. Its description in RNAcentral is "SSU rRNA". It matches the Rfam family "Bacterial small subunit ribosomal RNA", at positions 353 to 1213 of the family's 1533-position model. Lineage: Eukaryota; Fungi; Ascomycota; Lecanoromycetes; Caliciales; Physciaceae. The record is from RNAcentral.
UUGGAGGAAUGUAUAGCGAAAGCUAGUUGCAUUUAACUUAGCGAAAGCUAAGUUGAUGCAGGAUUGACUAUGCUCAAAUAAAGUUCUAGGUGGGUUAUGAUGAUGACAUUUCCUAUCUAUGUGUCUUGACCAAAUUACGUGCCAGCAGUCGCGGUAACACGUAAAAGACUAGUGUUAUUCAUCUUUAAUAGGUUUAAAGGGUACCUAGACGGUAAAUCAAGUCCAAGAAGGGUACUAAUUUUACUAGAGUUUAAUAUGAGGGGGCACUAAAGUACUGAUAAGUGUAGAGAUGAAAUUCUGUGAUACAAUAUACGGCACUGGUAAAGGCGAAAGCAUCUCAUUAUGUAAUAACUGACGUUGAGGGACGAAGGCUAGGUGUAGCAAAAAGGAUUAGAUACCCAAGUAGUCUUAGCAGAAAAUUAUGAAUGUCAUAGGAUGGAAAGUUGGAUGGACAAACAACAAAUUUUUUUUUCUAUAAAUGAAAGUGUAAGCAUUCCACCUCGAGAGUAAUUUGGCAACAUUGGAACUGAAAUCAUUAGACCGUUUCUGAAACAAGUAGUGAAGUAUGUUGUUUAAUUUGAUGGUCCGCAAAAAACCUUACCACAAUUUGAAUAGAAAAAUUUUUUCAUACAAGCGCUGCACGGUUGUCUUCAGUUAAUGUCGUGAGAUCUUGGUUAGUUCCAUUAAAUUAACGUAAACCCUUACUCUAUUUUUAUAUAGAGUAGUUCACCGCUAGAUUGGAUGUGAUAACAGGGACUAAGACAAGUCAUCAUGGCCUUAAUAUUGUGGG